CGGGGCGUGGCCCAGUUUGGCUAGGGCGCUACAAUGGGGUUGUAGAGGUCCCGGGUUCAAAUCCCGGCGCCCCGACCU
Molecule: transfer RNA, 78 nt
Filed under: Chloroflexota bacterium
Lineage: Bacteria; Bacillati; Chloroflexota
Description: Chloroflexi bacterium tRNA-Pro
Rfam family: tRNA
About the family: Transfer RNA (tRNA) molecules are approximately 80 nucleotides in length.
Source: RNAcentral